CAAUAGCGUAUAUUAAAGUUGUUGCGGUUAAAAAGCUCGUAGUUGGAUUUCUGCCGAGGACGACCGGUCCGCCCUCUGGGUGAGUAUCUGGCUCGGCCUGGGCAUCUUCUUGGAGAACGUAGCUGCACUUGACUGUGUGGUGCGGUAUCCAGGACUUUUACUUUGAGGAAAUUAGAGUGUUUCAAGCAGGCUUACGCCUUGAAUACAUUAGCAUGGAAUAAUAAGAUAGGACCUCGGUUCUAUUUUGUUGGUUUCUAGAGCUGAGGUAAUGAUUAAUAGGGAUAGUUGGGGGCAUUCGUAUUUAACUGUCAGAGGUGAAAUUCUUGGAUUUGUUAAAGAUGGACUACUGCGAAAGCAUUUGCCAAGGAUGUUUUCAUUGA
This 380-nucleotide ribosomal RNA is filed under the name uncultured eukaryote. Its description in RNAcentral is "partial 18S ribosomal RNA". It matches the Rfam family "Eukaryotic small subunit ribosomal RNA", at positions 592 to 976 of the family's 1831-position model. The record is from RNAcentral.